UAUUGGACAAUGGGCGCAAGCCUGAUCCAGCAAUGCCGCGUGUGUGAAGAAGGCCUGCGGGUUGUAAAGCACUUUCAGUAGGGAGGAAGGCCUCAAUGUUAAUAGUAUUGAGGAUUGACGUUACCUACAGAAGAAGCACCGGCUAACUCUGUGCCAGCAGCCGCGGUAAUACAGAGGGUGCAAGCGUUAAUCGGAAUUACUGGGCGUAAAGGGCGCGUAGGUGGUUAUUUAAGUCAGAUGUGAAAUCCCUGGGCUUAACCUAGGAAUUGCAUUUGAAACUAGAUGGCUAGAGUAUGGUAGAGGGAAGUGGAAUUUCCGGUGUAGCGGUGAAAUGCGUAGAUAUCGGAAGGAACACCAGGGCGAAGGCGACUUCCUGACCAUUACGACACUGAGGCGCGAAA
RNAcentral lists this ribosomal RNA (401 nucleotides) under uncultured bacterium. RNAcentral's name for it is "bacterial SSU rRNA". It matches the Rfam family "Bacterial small subunit ribosomal RNA", at positions 362 to 758 of the family's 1533-position model. The record is from RNAcentral.